CAAAGUCCAAAACUCCCAGUUCCGGAAUGGUUCUUAAAGUUCAGUUCCGCAAGCCAUAAGGUGAAACAUGAGCAAGGGCUUCUUCAACAACCACCGUUGUCUGAAGAUAAGAUGUAGAUGUAGAAAAACACAGAGAGAGUACAUACGAAAUCCAAAUGUUCCACGAUGGAACCCAAACGACACUUCAGUGUUUACUCGGUAGUGACUUCCUCACCCCGAAAAGCAUCCGAACCGUGGUCGUCCACACACAAAUACCUGUUUCCUUCUACAGGUCAGCAACAAAGUGAACUCCACCGGAUUACUUCCAACUUCCAUACAUGGAUUUCAGUGGCAAACACAGUUAUUGUUUCUCAUCCAUCGAUAGAGAAAACAAGCAGGCUG
Molecule: long non-coding RNA, 381 nt
Organism: Pristis pectinata (smalltooth sawfish)
Lineage: Eukaryota; Metazoa; Chordata; Chondrichthyes; Rhinopristiformes; Pristidae
Exons: 3
Source: RefSeq, a predicted model, not a curated record